UACGGGGGAGUGCAAGCGUUUAUCCGGAUUUAUUGGGUUUGAAAGGGUGCGUAGGCUGUGAGGUAAGUCAGCGGGUGAAAUGCCCCCGCUCAACGGGGUGAAGUGCCAUUGAUACUGCCUUGCUGGAAUGCGGAUGCCGUGGGAGGAAUGUGUGGUGUAGCGGUGAAAUGCAUAGAUAAUCACACAGAACACCGAUUGCGAAGGCAUCUCACGAAUCCGCGAUUGACGCUGAUGCAACGAAGCGUGGGUAGUCAAACAGGA
Molecule: ribosomal RNA, 261 nt
Filed under: uncultured bacterium
Lineage: Bacteria
Description: partial 16S ribosomal RNA
Rfam family: Bacterial small subunit ribosomal RNA
Source: RNAcentral